AUGCCAACUUUCGCCCUCACGGCGCUGCGCUUCCCCGCUAAGCUUCUCAAGGAAAUUGACAAGUGUAGACGACGUUUCCUCCGGGGCCAUGAUCAGGAGCUCUCUGGCGGCAGCUGCAAAGUCAGCUGGGGACGGGUCUGCUCACCGAUCGAGCAUGGAGGGCUCGGCAUCCUCGACCUGACGAAAUUCAACCGCGCCCUUCGGCUUCGUUGGCUCUGGCACGCCUGGAAAAGCCCGGAGCGGCCGUGGGCGAGGACGGAACCACCCUGCGACGCCCCCGACCACGCCCUCUUCAGCGCGGCCACCAAGGUAGAGGUUGGCAACGGUCAGAAGGCCAGUUUCUGGCAUUCGGCAUGGAUCGACGCGACACCGUUGAAGGCUCUCCACCCCACCCUCUACAAGCUCUCCAGACGGAAGAACAGGUCAGUUGCGCAAGCACUUAUCGAAGAUCGCUGGAUCACCGACCUGGCACACAGUGACGCCAGCUCAAUCGCCCCGGAGGUGCUCAACCUGCACAGGCGGAUUCACCCGCAUCUCCUGGCCCUCCAGGAGGCCAGCCAGGACCACAUCACAUGGAAAAUCGCUGCCUCCAGGCAGUACUCCGUGCGAUCGGCGUACGGUGCUCAGUUCCAGGGCUGCGUGAAAUCCCUUUUCCGCACGGUGAUCUGGGACACUUGGGCGCCUUCAAAGCUAAAUUUUUUUGCCUGGCUACUCCACCAAGACUGCCUCUAG
Molecule: ribosomal RNA, 732 nt
Filed under: Triticum aestivum (bread wheat)
Lineage: Eukaryota; Viridiplantae; Streptophyta; Magnoliopsida; Poales; Poaceae
Description: partial small subunit ribosomal RNA
Source: RNAcentral